Molecule: long non-coding RNA, 978 nt
Organism: Panicum virgatum (switchgrass)
Lineage: Eukaryota; Viridiplantae; Streptophyta; Magnoliopsida; Poales; Poaceae
Exons: 2
Source: RefSeq, a predicted model, not a curated record
CGGCGGAGUUUGCUGGCCCGGUGCAGACCGAGAACUCCUUCCUGGCGGCCCUGAUGGCCUCCCUCAUCGCGCAGUGCACCGAGCACGCGAGAAGCAGAGGUGGCUCACCCGAUGCUGCAAACAGAGAGCCACGGGAUGUCAGUCAGGGAGAGGAUGAAAAUUGCUGGAGAAGGCUCACCCUUCGAAGAGAGGACACGCUUCUGGUCACGGGCGCUGUUGAUCAGCUCGACGUUGAACUGCUUUGGGAUGGUGUCAACCGUGGGGAUCUUGUAUGUCCAUGUGCCAUCGUUGAUGACCAUGCCAUCGGCAUUUGUUGCAUACUCCUCAUUUGUGAAGAAGCCCACUCCUUGGACAAAUGCACCUUCCACCUGAGUUAAUCAAGAUUCAAAACCAGUGUUCGGAGGAGGAGCACAUUUCCAUUCAUGCAGUGAUGUGCACAAGCAGUUAGUAGUUCAGGACUAACCUGGCCCAAGUCUACUGCUGGGUUCAGGCUUUGCCCGCAAUCGUACACGAGGUCACUUCUUAGAAUUGUUGUUGCUCCUGUUAGGACAUCAACUUCCACCUGUGGUCAAGUUUUGAAUCAUUUUUCAGCAAUGAGCAUGACCGAAGCUGCAGCCUUCGACAAUUUAGCUUGGUAACUGCAUCUGCAGUGUUGUUAUUGCAAUUUGGAUCAGGGAUACCUCACUAAUGGCAGCUCCAUAGUUCAAAUAGCUUCCAAAUGAUGGAUCAGGGCUCCAGUAUGCAUGUGCGGAUAAGUUCACACUUGCCCUACUUGCCUGCAUGCGAGGGGGGAAAAUGCCAUGAACAAUUGGAAGUGUCAGAUACUGUGCACAAUUGAGCUCACCACUGAAGUAGCAGUAGCACUUUAAAGUUUAUUGAGGAACAAAUGUCAUGCACAAUUGAUAUCACCGCUAAAGUGCUACUGCUAGUGCUUGUAGUUUAUUGAUGACAUAAAGGAGGAAGAGAAGAUUAAAGCUA